RNAcentral lists this ribosomal RNA (500 nucleotides) under uncultured bacterium. RNAcentral's name for it is "partial 16S ribosomal RNA". It matches the Rfam family "Bacterial small subunit ribosomal RNA", at positions 30 to 523 of the family's 1533-position model. The record is from RNAcentral.
AUUGAACGCUGGCGGCAGGCCUAACACAUGCAAGUCGAGCGGAUGACGGGAGCUUGCUCCUUGAUUCAGCGGCGGACGGGUGAGUAAUGCCUAGGAAUCUGCCUGGUAGUGGGGGACAACGUUUCGAAAGGAACGCUAAUACCGCAUACGUCCUACGGGAGAAAGCUGGGGACCUUCGGGCCUUGCGCUAUCAGAUGAGCCUAGGUCGGAUUAGCUAGUUGGUGGGGUAAUGGCUCACCAAGGCGACGAUCCGUAACUGGUCUGAGAGGAUGAUCAGUCACACUGGAACUGAGACACGGUCCAGACUCCUACGGGAGGCAGCAGUGGGGAAUAUUGGACAAUGGGCGGGAGCCUGAUCCAGCCAUGCCGCGUGUGUGAAGAAGGUCUUCGGAUUGUAAAGCACUUUAAGUUGGGAGGAAGGGCAGUAAGUUAAUACCUUGCUGUUUUGACGUUACCGACAGAAUAAGCACCGGCUAACUCUGUGCCAGCAGCCGCGGUAA